This 440-nucleotide ribosomal RNA is filed under the name uncultured bacterium. Its description in RNAcentral is "partial 16S ribosomal RNA". It matches the Rfam family "Bacterial small subunit ribosomal RNA", at positions 338 to 795 of the family's 1533-position model. The record is from RNAcentral.
CCUACGGGAGGCAGCAGUGGGGAAUAUUGCACAAUGGGGGAAACCCUGAUGCAGCGACGCCGCGUGAGUGAAGAAGUAAUUCGUUAUGUAAAGCUCUAUCAGCAGGGAAGAAAAUGACGGUACCUGAGUAAGAAGCCCCGGCUAACUACGUGCCAGCAGCCGCGGUAAUACGUAGGGGGCAAGCGUUAUCCGGAUUUACUGGGUGUAAAGGGAGCGUAGACGGCAGUGCAAGUCUGGAGUGAAAGGCGGGGGCUCAACCCCCGGACUGCUCUGGAAACUGUACGGCUGGAGUGCAGGAGAGGCAGGCGGAAUUCCUAGUGUAGCGGUGAAAUGCGUAGAUAUUAGGAGGAACACCAGUGGUGAAGGCGGCCUGCUGGACUGUAACUGACGUUGAGGCUCGAAAGCGUGGGGAGCAAACAGGAUUAGAUACCCGAGUAGUC